UUUGCCUACCCUUGUCGAUAUAAACGACACCUCUGUUCACAGUACAGUUCAACAGCAACCCAAACUUCAUCCUCCAAACAUAUAUCAUUAACUUAUGUCUUGUGUCCGCAGCGGCAGAUGGCCACGCACCAAGAGUCAGGGUCUCUCCAAGGUUUCUGCCUGUAAAAAGGACGUUUUUCUUCCCUCUUGGGGGAGAAUUGUUGGGUCUUUGUAAAUUAUAGUGUGGUCUAGAUCUACUCUGUCUGUAAAGUGUCCUGAGGCAACUCCUGUUAUGAUUUGACACCAUUAAUAAAACUGAAUUCUAGUCGCUACGUUUUUGCCUCCUAAACUCCUUAUCAAGUGGAAAAUGUUUCUUCACCUCUUUUUCCACAUUGAUGUAGAACUGACGAAUACCCUCAAGGGUCAGCUCCUCCUUCUUUACCAGGAUUCUGACGGGUUCACGCAUGAACUUCUUCGUUA
Molecule: long non-coding RNA, 459 nt
Organism: Sander lucioperca (pikeperch)
Lineage: Eukaryota; Metazoa; Chordata; Actinopteri; Perciformes; Percidae
Exons: 2
Source: RefSeq, a predicted model, not a curated record